This 621-nucleotide ribosomal RNA is filed under the name Escherichia coli. RNAcentral describes it as "partial 23S ribosomal RNA". It matches the Rfam family "Bacterial large subunit ribosomal RNA", at positions 1953 to 2573 of the family's 2925-position model. The record is from RNAcentral. Lineage: Bacteria; Pseudomonadati; Pseudomonadota; Gammaproteobacteria; Enterobacterales; Enterobacteriaceae.
AAGGUAGCGAAAUUCCUUGUCGGGUAAGUUCCGACCCGCACGAAAGGCGUAACGAUUUGGGCACUGUCUCAACGAGAGACUCGGUGAAAUCAUAGUACCUGUGAAGAUGCAGGUUACCCGCGACAGGACGGAAAGACCCCGUGGAGCUUUACUGUAGCCUGAUAUUGAAAUUCGGCACAGCUUGUACAGGAUAGGUAGGAGCCUUUGAAACGUGAGCGCUAGCUUACGUGGAGGCGCUGGUGGGAUACUACCCUAGCUGUGUUGGCUUUCUAACCCGCACCACUUAUCGUGGUGGGAGACAGUGUCAGGCGGGCAGUUUGACUGGGGCGGUCGCCUCCUAAAAGGUAACGGAGGCGCUCAAAGGUUCCCUCAGAAUGGUUGGAAAUCAUUCAUAGAGUGUAAAGGCAUAAGGGAGCUUGACUGCGAGACCUACAAGUCGAGCAGGGUCGAAAGACGGACUUAGUGAUCCGGUGGUUCCGCAUGGAAGGGCCAUCGCUCAACGGAUAAAAGCUACCCCGGGGAUAACAGGCUUAUCUCCCCCAAGAGUUCACAUCGACGGGGAGGUUUGGCACCUCGAUGUCGGCUCAUCGCAUCCUGGGGCUGUAGUCGGUCCCAAGGGUU